GACGAACGCUGGCGGCGUGCCUAAUACAUGCAAGUCGAACGCUUCUUUCCUCCCGAGUGCUUGCACUCAAUUGGAAAGAGGAGUGGCGGACGGGUGAGUAACACGUGGGUAACCUACCCAUCAGAGGGGGAUAACACUUGGAAACAGGUGCUAAUACCGCAUAACAGUUUAUGCCGCAUGGCAUAAGAGUGAAGGGCGCUUUCGGGUGUCGCUGAUGGAUGGACCCGCGGUGCAUUAGCUAGUUGGUGAGGUAACGGCUCACCAAGGCCACGAUGCAUAGCCGACCUGAGAGGGUGAUCGGCCACACUGGGACUGAGACACGGCCCAGACUCCUACGGGGGGCAGCAGUAGGGAAUCUUCGGCAAUGGACGAAAGUCUGACCGAGCAACGCCGCGUGAGUGAAGAAGGUUUUCGGAUCGUAAAACUCUGUUGUUAGAGAAGAACAAGGACGUUAGUAACUGAACGUCCCCUGACGGUAUCUAACCAGAAAGCCACGGCUAACUACGUG
This 508-nucleotide ribosomal RNA is filed under the name uncultured bacterium. Its description in RNAcentral is "partial 16S ribosomal RNA". It matches the Rfam family "Bacterial small subunit ribosomal RNA", at positions 28 to 507 of the family's 1533-position model. The record is from RNAcentral.